CCGUCUCGUUCAAUUCCGGCUGGCAUACUCUGUUCCUCUCCGGUGAGUCAUCCCAUCCGUCCGAUCUCCCUCCGACGGUCUAGAUUAGAUCAGUGCUGUUUUUUUCUCUAUAAACCGGUAUGCACUAUUUAGUGGACGUUCGUCGGUUAGCCACAGCAGCAAACAACCUCCAGCCAAUCAUCAUGCGACACGUGGCACGUCCACGGCAGCCACGGCAGUUCUUCCCGAAACGCUUUUAUGGCAUAAUUGUUCUUUGCAGAUUCCAUAUCAAAUUUUCAUUUAGGUUUAUCUUGACAUCCGGAACUCCAAAUUCAUCGAUUCUUUUUCCUGUGUACUCGUAGAGACCAGAAGAAUACCGCAGAAUCAAAAUUUCACAUUGUUGAACUAUUCAAAUAUGAAGUUGUUUAAAUUUGAAUUCAAACUUCCGGAGGCCAUAUCUUUUAAACCAUUGAUCCAAUUCAGUUGAUUCUUUUUGCAUUGUGAUUCUGCCAGCAUGUAGAUGAUAUAUACCUACUGAUAAGUUCUGUUAUUUAAGUUUUUAUUUGAAUUUGUUGCUGUUUACUUUAUUGUGGUGUUAUGGGAGUACGGUUUAUUUACCGGUGCCUUCGUUAAUCGUAUAGAUUGUCCGGAGUGUGAAGCGGAUCAGAAUUGAGCGUUAGAGUACUUCAACAGCGUUCAAGGCAAGUUGCACUUUUUGAUUAUGCUCAUCUUAUAUUCUGCUAUGCAUGUGUGGUUUUAUGCUAUGAUAUAUGUGUUGGCCUGAUAUGUGUACCCCGUGUUGUCAUGUUUGGUCUUGAUUGUGCUCUGUGAUGGUGUGAUCAACUUGCCAUGGUAGACGUGGGCAUGUCUCGAGUGAUCCAUGAAAGUGAUGAGUGUUUAUAGCCGUAGGCUCGGGAUUAUUAACCAGGUGAAUGCGUCACUGGCAGAGCGCUCUAUUGCCCCUAGAGAAUGCGCCAUUGACAGAGCGCACUUGAGGCGAGGUUUAGUUUUUGGAACUUAAAUCAGGUGAAUGCGUCCUUGGCAGAGUGCUCUAUUGUUCCUAGAGAAUGCGCCACUGACAGAGCGCACUUGAGACAUACUUCUGAAGUUCUUGUCAUGUUUAUUUAGAAUCUUUGGGUUAUCUUGGGCGAGUAAACUAGAGACGGUUGUGAGUUCAGGUAGUGGAGGUAGGUGAGGACAUUCUUCUCCAAACUAACUUGUGUGUUUUGUUUGUCAUACAUUGCUUUGUGGAUGUAGGUUUGAUAUAUCAUUUUGUGUGAUUUGCCAAUACAUUCAAUGUAUUGACCCUUUGUGGUUGCAACUUAUCAUGUUGCGGGAUUUUCAGAUGAUCAGUCAGAUACAGUAGGGUCGCGAGCCAUCACUCGACAUGUUCUCUAGUGGGCAUUGAUGGACUCGUCGUUUAUUAUGCUACCUUUCCGCUGUUAUUAUUGAAUAAGUUAGCUAUGUGCUACUCAGUUUGUAAUAUUUUAUAAAUUCUGGAUCAUACGUUAUAGUAAAUGAUGC
Molecule: long non-coding RNA, 1503 nt
Filed under: Triticum aestivum (bread wheat)
Lineage: Eukaryota; Viridiplantae; Streptophyta; Magnoliopsida; Poales; Poaceae
Description: long non-coding RNA (TAES_LNC010303)
Source: RNAcentral